UACGUAGGGGGCUAGCGUUGUCCGGAUUUAUUGGGCGUAAGGAGCGUGUAGGCGGCCAGGUAGGUCUGCUGUGAAAACUCGAGGCUCAACCUCGAGACGUCGGCGGAAACCAUCUGGCUAGAGUCCGGAAGAGGAGAGUGGAAUUCCUGGUGUAGCGGUGAAAUGCGCAGAUAUCAGGAAGAACACCGAUGGCGAAGGCAGGUCUCUGGGCAUUAACUGACGCUGAGGAGCGAAAGCAUGGGGAGCGAACAGG
This 253-nucleotide ribosomal RNA is filed under the name uncultured bacterium. RNAcentral describes it as "partial 16S ribosomal RNA". It matches the Rfam family "Bacterial small subunit ribosomal RNA", at positions 524 to 776 of the family's 1533-position model. The record is from RNAcentral.